This 64-nucleotide transfer RNA is filed under the name Epilampra maya. RNAcentral's name for it is "tRNA-Glu". It matches the Rfam family "tRNA". From Rfam's summary of the family: Transfer RNA (tRNA) molecules are approximately 80 nucleotides in length. Their secondary structure includes four short double-helical elements and three loops (D, anti-codon, and T loops). The record is from RNAcentral. Lineage: Eukaryota; Metazoa; Arthropoda; Insecta; Blattodea; Blaberidae.
AUUUAUGUAGUUUAAAUAAAACAUUACAUUUUCACUGUAAAAAUAUUAUAAAUAAUCAUAAAUU